This 1361-nucleotide long non-coding RNA is filed under the name Homo sapiens (human). RNAcentral describes it as "HSALNT0214835". The record is from RNAcentral. Lineage: Eukaryota; Metazoa; Chordata; Mammalia; Primates; Hominidae.
CUGCCCUGCUCUCCAGCCUCUGUCUUUUCUACUUCUUUCAGAUCAGGGUCUGUGGUGAGCCCUAGGGGAAUAUUUUUUUUUAAGUCCUAGGAUCCAGGAGAGCUGGGUUCUAGUCCUAUCCCUGUCCAGGCAGACUCAGGAAAAUCUCUUUGUGGGCUCCAGUUUCCUCAUUCCUGAGAUGUUAGGGUUAUGUGAGAUGACCUCUGAGGCCCCUUCCAGCUCCAAGAUUCCACCAGGCAUCUAAAUGUCCCUGAAGUUUGGGGAGUCAUUGUUCUUCAGCAUCUCCUCAGGGGCAGCCUGGGCUGAACAAUAGUUUUGUGACUUGAAAAGUAUUGGAAGUGGAGGUUAUCCAUUCAAUCAAGACUUUUAGAUGAUCUGUUGUAUCUUGCAACACCUGCCCUCUUCAUCCAUUUUCUGCUAUUGGUCAUCAAGAGGACGGUGGAAUUCCCAGAUAAGAAGAAGAAAGGCAGAACAAACCUGCAGGUCCCUACUGUGGUGGUCACUGGUGUGGAUGCCAGAUACAUCCAACUCUCUGCCUUCUGUUGCAGAUGAGCUUGGCACCCCCAGAGGCCAUGUGUGGAAGAUGGCACAGCCACAAGAUGCAAGGGACCAGGAGCUCUGAAUAAGCACUUGGAGAAGAGCCACCUGCCAAUACAUCCAUUUUUGGACUUCAUAUGCUGGGUGAAGAAGGGAAUGAGACAGAAAGACUAGGCUUAGAGAAGCUGGUUAAGGAGGCUGCUGCAGUGAUCCAGGUGGGAAAUGGACCCAGAGCUGUCAACAGGGAUGGCAAGAAGUGGACAGAUCUGAGGCCUGGUUGAUGAUGGGCUGCGAGGAAAGAUGUGGGAGAUGUGGGGAGACAAAGGUCAUUCCUUGAACAUGCAGGUUGAAAUGACCAAGAAGUUUCCAGCUAGAGAAACAGACUUGUGAGUCAGCAGCAGAGAGAACCAAUGCACUCUCCCAGGAAGAGGGGUAAAUGGUGAGAAGAAAAGAGGGACUGGAACGGAACCCCAGAGGACCAGGGAGAGCUGCGCCCCAAAGGGACCAAGAAGAGCUGGUCAGAGAAGGAAGAGAAAGACCAGAAGCGCACAUUGUCAAGAACAUAAAGAAUGGUGGCUAGUAAGAGUCAACAUGUGUAAGAGGGUCAAAUUCUGGGAGAUGUAUUCACAGGCCACUGGUAACCUUGGCAGGGAAGAUGGGGUCAGUGCCUGGGGCGGGGCUGAAGUGGUGGUAAGAGCAGAUACCAUCUAACAGGGGCAACUAUUCUUUAUCUAUUUGUUUGCUCAUUCAGUAAAUACUUUAUACAUGAAACAGGGUGCUGUGUUCAGAGCUGUGGAUAAGAUGCCAACUCCGGAGGCCUUCAC